Molecule: ribosomal RNA, 502 nt
Filed under: uncultured cyanobacterium
Lineage: Bacteria; Bacillati; Cyanobacteriota
Description: bacterial SSU rRNA
Rfam family: Bacterial small subunit ribosomal RNA
Source: RNAcentral
UGGGGAAUUUUCCGCAAUGGGCGAAAGCCUGACGGAGCAAUACCGCGUGAGGGAGGAAGGCUCUUGGGUUGUAAACCUCUUUUCUCAAGGAAUAAGUACUGAAGGUACUUGAGGAAUCAGCAUCGGCUAACUCCGUGCCAGCAGCCGCGGUAAUACGGAGGAUGCAAGCGUUAUCCGGAAUGAUUGGGCGUAAAGCGUCCGCAGGUGGCAUUGAAAGUCUGCUGUUAAAGAGUGAGGCUUAACCUCAUAAAAGCAGUGGAAACUACAAAGCUAGAGUGCGUUCGGGGCAGAAGGAAUUCCUGGUGUAGCGGUGAAAUGCGUAGAGAUCAGGAAGAACACCGGUGGCGAAGGCGUUCCGCUAGGCCGCAACUGACACUGAGGGACGAAAGCUAGGGGAGCGAAUGGGAUUAGAUACCCCAGUAGUCCUAGCCGUAAACGAUGGAUACUAGGCGUUGCGAGUAUCGACCCUCGCAGUGCCGGAGCCAACGCGUUAAGUAUCCCG